This is a long non-coding RNA of Pundamilia nyererei, 527 nucleotides long. RefSeq lists it as uncharacterized. The record is from RefSeq and is a predicted model, not a curated record. NCBI's taxonomy places the organism in Eukaryota, Metazoa, Chordata, Actinopteri, Cichliformes, Cichlidae. The transcript is spliced from 3 exons.
AUUAACACACUUCACCCUUUUUUUUUAUCCUGAUCAUCUGUCCGUCCUCUUUCAGAUGGCAGUGUGUUGUAUGCACAGGUCUCCCACGAUAGAGCUAAAACCAAGAAAGACAACGAUGACAGCCUGUUGUAUGCACAGGUCAAUUACAAUAAAGUGAAACCGAAGAGACACAAAGGGAAACCAGCUCCUGCAGCAGCUGAUGAAACAGUUUAUUCUGAAGUUAAAUCACAAACAGCUCUGGGUAACUGUGCAGAAAUAAAAUAGCUUACAUGUUGUGAUUUGUUGCUGUAACGAUGAACUCAAGUACUAAAGUGUUUAAGUUUUUAGGGAGUAAAUUUAGUUCCAAAUCACCUUUAAUGACUGAAUUAUGCUGCAUCAUUUCUUUCAGAUUAAUAACAAGAUCUGCAAAACCAACUGGAUCAGUGACAAAACUGAGUUUCAUUUGAAUUUAAGAGAGCAUUAGAGAAAUUGAGAUUAUGCACUGUUUUAUAAGAUAAAGUAAAAUAAGUAAAAUCUUUCAUCAUAAU